Macaca fascicularis (crab-eating macaque) is the source of this 104-nucleotide small nucleolar RNA. The record is from Ensembl. Lineage: Eukaryota; Metazoa; Chordata; Mammalia; Primates; Cercopithecidae.
AUUAUUUUGUAGUUCAUAAGCGUGAUGACUGGGUGUUCAAAUGCAGGUGCAAGAUGUGCCACCCUCAAACCUUGUUACCACAUCAGCAUAUUACCCAUCAGACA